AACGCCAAGAACCUUACCAGCACUUGACAUCCAACUAACGAAAUAGAGAUAUAUUAGGUGCCCUUCGGGGAAAGUUGAGACAGGUGGUGCAUGGUUGUCGUCAGCUCGUGUCGUGAGAUGUUGGGUUAAGUCCCGCAACGAGCGCAACCCUCGCCAUUAGUUGCUACGCAAGAGCACUCUAAUGGGACCGCUACCGACAAGGUGGAGGAAGGUGGGGACGACGUCAAAUCAUCAUGCCCCUUAUGUGCUGGGCUACACACGUAAUACAAUGGCCAUCAACAGAGAGAAGCAAUACCGCGAGGUGGAGCAAAACUUCAAAAAUGGUCUCAGUUCGGACUGCAGGCUGCAACCCGCCUGCACGAAGUUGGAAUUGCUAGUAAUCGUGGAUCAGCAUGCCACGGUGAAUACGUUCCCGGGCCUGUACACACCG
RNAcentral lists this ribosomal RNA (430 nucleotides) under uncultured bacterium. Its description in RNAcentral is "bacterial SSU rRNA". It matches the Rfam family "Bacterial small subunit ribosomal RNA", at positions 958 to 1392 of the family's 1533-position model. The record is from RNAcentral.